UCAUGCUUGACAUGAGUGGAUAGAAGAAAGAAACGGUUCAAAGGCGUCAACAGUCCAGGGGCAACGUUUGGUGAGAUCGCGACGUGUGGGUGUCCUUGUGGUCUACGAGCUGCUAAGUCUUAAAAAUCAAGCAGUGCAUGGAGGAGCCACACAACAGAGCAAAGCGUGAAGCCCUUAAUGAAGAAGCAACACUGACCUCUUGCAAGAAGCCAUCCUUGGAGGAAGAGGGGUCAAUUCUGCUCUUCCUCCCUGUACAUGAUAAAAGGAAAGAUCCAUCUGGCACCUUGCACUGCAUUGCUGAUGUCCCAUGCAGCGAGGACCUUUGUGGUGCUCAGUGGUGGAACCUUUUGGAUUUGAGUCCGGCUCGUCCUCGAGGUGAGCAGUGAUGAGGCUGCAGCACAGCGGAGCCAGCAGCAUCGUAUUGAGCGGGUGACAAAUGCUGACCUACGGUGCCACACAGUUUAAGGAUGCAAGCAUGGGUCUUGCUCACAAGGCAGGGCAAGGAGGCAAAGCAGAUUGAUUGACUCUGUUGGCUGCGUGUGUGAUCUUCUGAAUGUGAAGUUGUUGUCUGUCUGAACCCCUGGAUGGCAUAAGAUCAUAAAAACCUCAGGCUCAGAGUUUAUUUAGAAUGAGUCUCUGAUACAGACAUAAACAACCUGUGGAUCACACGAGUCAAAUACGUACGGGUUUGUCUUCCUGGAGAGACUGAUGAUGAGCUCAGAUAAUGUCAGGGCUCUCGUGUGUCAUGUGCACGAGGGGUGUGAUUAAAACUACAGAGAAGGCUGUGGGAGAGCUUAGAUCUGAAGCGGCAUGUCUGUAGCAGCAAGCAGGGGACUUGGUGCAAAAUUCUCCAGCUUGGCAGCCGCAAGAUACAUAGCAAGUUUACCAUGCCUGAGAGACCUAUGAGCAUAAUGUUUAUUUUUGAGGCAUCAGCAGCGCCUGAUGCUCAUUGGUAGGAAAACUUCAUUGUUAAAAUGAGGGAACUCUUUCAGGCUGCUGGUUCUGACCUUUUGAGUUAGCACGAAUAAAAGCCAGGUUAAUGAAAUGCAUUGCUCCACUCGCAAGUCAGGAAACAACUUGUCUGACGCUCGGAAAAAACAGCAAAUGCCACCAAGAUUUAUGCAGAGCUCUGGGGUAACUCCCAUCGUGUGAGCCCUCAGUAUGUAAGACACUGCAUUUCUGUGGGAAAAGAAGUCAUCUCCUAGCUUCAGCGAUACCCCCAGCCCCCGAUGUCUCGUGGUGACAGAUAGCAUAAGUCACAAAGAUUGUGACUUGCUUGCCAAGAGACACGGUCCAGUUAGCGUUUCUUGCCCUUACUGCUUGCUGGCUUGAGAGCUGCAAUCCUAAAGUGCAAUCAGAAAAAUUGCAUUUGCCACAGCAUGCUGAGGAACGGCAUAAAUUCUGCCAUAUGAGGCACUCACACGUGUUUGGCUGGCCACUAGUCACCCAGCUGCUGGAGAGCACCCAGAAGAGUUGGCUGUUAAUGAAAACACCUUGGAGCUGGCACGAAAUCGAUGAGACACUCGAGUCCCCCUUUGCAUUUCCUAGGAUCAUGCAAGUGUUCAUGCUUUAGCAGCCCAAACUCUUGCAAGCAGUGAUUUUUAAGCUCAAAAUAUUCAUGUAAAGCGGAUAUAAAAUUGACAAGCAUUUCGACACCAGUGACCACAGCCCUGUGCUACUCUGGGGGUUUGGGAGGGCUUUUAUUUUUUUUCAACUUAAGCCCCUCUGCUCUCCCUGUUGCUUGUAGGACUGAAAUCCCUUGGAGGAGUUAAUACCGUGGCACUGCGGUGCAAUGCCAGCUACCUUCAAGGUGACACAGUGGGCUACUGCCCUCAGUGCCUUGCAAGGUGUCCCAGACCUUUAAGAUCAGGUGGUUUGUGGCUGGGACCUGGCAAUGAAAAGAUCUUCCUUGCCAAGCUUUAGGUGCAGAGAGGCGCUCUCCAGCCCAGAAAUGAAAAGUGGCUCAUAGUCACUAAACAUGCCGCUAUGUGCGAUGGAAGGAAGAAUUCAUGAGGGAAUUUAAGGCUUCUUUCACUGUGUCAAUUCCCAUUGCCCUCCUAAACACAGGGAAAAGAAAUGCCAUGGCAAGACCCUUUAUAAAAGCAAAUCGGAUUAUUUUUUUUCUAACCUCACUUUCCCUGGAGUAAAGUAAAAUAUAUUUCUCUGGCUUGGUUCAGUUUAAAGCAGGCCUCUAGAGCCAUUAGAGAUGCCAUUGGGCAUCACUUCUGGCCCUCUAGCUGCCAUCCAGAAAAGCAAAGUUCUGCCACAGCUUCUUUGUUGCCUCUCUUGGCCCCACAUGAAAGUGUUGGCACCGCUAACAGCGCCUUGAAUGACACUGGGUGCCCAGGCAGCCGCACUGAAGCUAACCCAAUGCCUCCCUCCAGCACUAGCAGCUGCUUGAAAAAAUCCCGGCAAUGAAUAAAACACUGGAGAUAAAAUUUCAUAGUGGAUGACUUCUUCUCGGGGCCAUUAGUGAGACUGAAAAAUCAGACUUUAUAAUACAAAGCAAUCUUCCACCUGAACUGCAGGACAGAGCUACUCUAGCUCCACAAUAUGUUAUUUAAAGCCUGUUUUAUAAUAGAAUUUGGUAUUGCAGUAUGUAUAAUUUAUAAUAUAUUAAAACUCAUUUCAUAAUAUAUUUUAAUCUCCAAUGAUGAAUAGCUGGGACAGUUUUGCAGGUUCUGUAAUAUCACUAUGGCAACAUCCUUUUAUUUUUAAAAAGUAGGACAAUUGAGAGAUACCAAGGACUGGUCAAGAAAAAGAAUAAUGACACUUGUCAAUUUGCAUUCUUUCUGAUAGUUUAUUUUCUUCUUGGAAAUGGCAUCUAUUCUGAUACUUUUGCAUGUGUUUUCAGGGAAUCUCUUGCGACAUUACUGAAAUGUUGCAUCUCCUUUAACCUUUGAGGCCUCAACUUUGAAAAGAUUUGGUUUUCAUUGCAGUGCUAAAUGACUUAGCCUAUCUGCAAAGAUGAUUAGAACUCAGCAGCUAUUGGUGGGCUGGAAAUACAGCUUCCAUCAGGUUUCCAAUGUUUUUGAAAAUAAAAAUAUUGUUUUAAGUGCCCAACCUAACAUGCUUUAUUUAGAAAAAUGGGGCUUGUCUGUUGUACUAAAUGUACAUUUUUGAAAAUAGGGGUGCUUGUUUUGAAACCUACAUUUAGACUAAGCCUCUAAAUGGCAGUUAUUCUUUUCCUAAAUGGUAGGCAGCAAAACAUCCUCAUCAUUCACAAAGAAGAAAUCUCAUUUUGCCAUCCAUUCCAAGUGGUGCGGGGGGGUCUCUACAGCGGCACUACAGUAACUCUGAGUUGUUCUGAUCAAAAAGCCUCAAGGUCUGUUGAUCACUAUUUGCUUGUCAGGUGAUAUGCAAUUCAUCCAUGGAAAACUGGGAUUUUUGACCUAUUCCCAAACUUAGAAAAUCCGCCUUCUGAAGAAAAGAAUUUUUGAAGGCAUCAGGUCUGAAGACCAAACACCAGCUUCCUGGCUGAAAUACAUUCCUGUGUGUUAUUCCCAGUCUCAUGCUUUCAAGUAUCGGGAGAGCAGUUUUUGAGGGUAAAAGUUUAUGGCUGUAAUGGUUUGUUUUCUAAUGUAUAUUGAUCAGUCACUGAGGGGCUCUUCUGUCAAAUAUAUAGGAGCUCCAGGCAUGAAUUCCCAGUCAUUGAGGAAGACAGCACUAAAAACUGAGCUGUGUAGGAACUCGCUUGUCUCUGUGCUUCCUGCUUGGUUUUCUUGAAUACCUCCAGCCUCUGCCAUUCCAGUCAAUUCAACAAACAACUCCCAGCUCUCUUUUAGCACGGCUUCUGUUUUGUGAUCCUCAGUGCAACCGAUUCCCUUCAGCCUCAAGAUUCUUCUGUUCUGGCUGGUCCUACCCCUUGCCAUCAGAGGUUUAAUGCUCACUGCCCUGCUCUGCUUUUUAUGGAGCAGACUCACUGUUUGUUGUCUCCUCUGUGAGCUAAAGCUUCUCCAGUGCAUCAAGCCAUGCUUCUGCCAGUGGCGGGUCACACAAAGAUAGCUAGUAGACGUGGCAGCUGAUAUGAGGUAGGACUGAAGAUAAGAAUACACCUGAAAUGUCUGUAAGCUGGGGACACAUGGGCAUUUGACUUUUUUUCCCUUGUUUGUCCCAAAGCAGAACACAGGUGUUGACCUUUACCUUAUGAAACCAUCUGCUUACUCAGGCUUUUGCUCGAGGGGUGAUGGCAAGUGAAUUUCUGCCUAUAGGGUAAAUUCCAGGAUGUAUCCAUUACCUUGCCAUUGACAUUUGCCAGCUGAUUCUUGUGUUUUCAAAGCAAUUUUGUUCAUGUGCCCAGGGAAAUUAACAGUGAACUGUUACCAGGGUUUAAAAAGCAUUUCUGGAAUAAAAUUUCUUUUAACUCUUCCUAUUUAAGUCAUUGCUUGCAUGGAACUACUGAUUACAGAAGAGCAGGAAUCCUCCUGAGAAAUAGGAGUGGUGAACUUGACGAGUUCCUAUUGUGUUUUUUCAUGUUCUCUGGUUAUAGAAAGCCUGAUGGCACGGGCACCUCAUCCAUGACAUCGGUCUACUAAUAACGUUAGGAUUUCGUUUUCCAAGUUACAUUGUACUUGCAACAUAGUUUUUUAAAUGUGGAGCCCAAAUCCCAUUAUCUAUGUAGAAGUGUAAGCAGCAAGAAAACAGACAUAGUCAUCUUCCAGUGAAGGAAAAAGUCUCGUAGUGAAGGGAAUGGUGACGUAUAAAUCCAGCUGUAUCCAGCUGGUGCUCACACUGCAGCUGUAGGCCAUUGCCUGUAAGAAAAAACAGUUUUAUCUUGAAAGUAUUUGAAAAUGGACACACAGUGUCUCCUAGCCAGCAAGCUGAUGCACGCUGGCAUCUCUCCCUUUUGGAUUCAAAAGUGUCGGGGCUGAUGGGUUUUCUUAAAUGGGUUUACUCUCUUCUCACACAUACCUACGUCUGAAAAUUAAAACCAGCUGAGAGCAGCAGCACGCAAAGCUAUUUUCAUGUUCUUUAUGGAAGACAAGUACUUUCUUAUCCCAGGACCACUGGACCCGUUCAUAACUGCAACCUUUAAAGUUUAUGAACUGUGAAAUUGGGUGACUAAUAGACAGGUGAAUCAUUAGGCAGAAUGCCACAAAGGCUGCCUUCAAAGGCCUCCUUCUUCCCAUUUCUUGCAUCUCCCUGUAGAUAAACUCACUUAUUUCAACACAGAGGAAGAAAAACAGCUUCAGAAAUCUCAUGGUGCUGAGAUCCCACUUAGUUGCAGAAGAAUGGGAUUUUGGUGUUUCCUGAGAUGUGGUGUGUACCUGCUGUGUCUGUCCAGUUACCUGCUCAGUGUAUUGUCCCUUGUGCCUCACUGAGGUUCAUCCAGGGACGUGUAGGAGUUUUUACUUUUUGUUGUUGUUGUUGUUUGUUUGUUUGGGGGGGAGAAAACCUCUGCAGCCUCCAUCUCUAUCUGCUGGAGAUCUUCUUUGCUAUUUCAGACUGUGUCCUGUGCAAAGGGGUCAAAGCAAGCAGCGAGCAAGGAACUGAUAAUUUUCAGAUCUUCCUGCCACAGGGGUACCGCGAUAAUACAAUCCUCCUAGGUGUUUUGAAAAGAUUGAGCAUUCUCUUUCAGGGGGAUUUGCUUUGAACAACACUGAACACUUUAUGAGCAACACUGUUGCCUGGCUUGCUUUAUGCCUUGGCAUUCCCAUCAAAACAUUGACUUGCUCCACCCCUAUGUAAGAUGGAAAGUCUGAUACAGUCCUGGGGGAGAAAAAAAAAAAAAAAAAAAAAAAAAAAAACACAACAAAACAAAAGACACUCAAACCAGUCCAAUUGAUAGCACUUCAUUUACUUACUGGAAUGAAAACUCCAUGAGUGAUUUUGGAGUGAAGACCCAGGGGACUUCUCUUUCCAGUUCUGUACUGAAGUGGUCCUCAUCUUUAUCAGAACUCCUCUCCAGCUUACGGUUUCACCAGUUAUUUAUUGUCACAUGUGGAAUAGGAGCUAUGGCCAGACUAUAUAUCUUGGUUAAUUAAAAGGAACAUCUGCUUAAUGUAAUAUAAAGCAUAGUAUAAAGGGUAUUUCCUUUGUAUACCAGGCUGAAUAAAAUGAUAUAUUGUCUAUUGA
This is a long non-coding RNA of Oxyura jamaicensis (ruddy duck), 6075 nucleotides long. RefSeq lists it as uncharacterized. The record is from RefSeq and is a predicted model, not a curated record. Lineage: Eukaryota; Metazoa; Chordata; Aves; Anseriformes; Anatidae. The transcript is spliced from 4 exons.